Non-coding RNA from Paramisgurnus dabryanus, 462 nucleotides. Lineage: Eukaryota; Metazoa; Chordata; Actinopteri; Cypriniformes; Cobitidae. The record is from RefSeq and is a predicted model, not a curated record.
UACACGGCUUUGUCUUGUGGUUGAAACGUUAUUUAUUUUGUUUUCGUCUUUGUGUUGAUAUUUCACUUUUUGCCUGAGAGGAAUUCAUCGAUAACGUUUCAAUGAGAGCUCCGACGGAGACGUUUUCACAGCCGUUAACGUUAAUAUAUUUUUCCCACCUCUGCCGGAGUUUCCAUCUUGGAAUCGCGGAUCCUUCACCAACUGCUUAUCGAGACUUCCAGAAUAUCAGCGAGUACCACUCCCGCAGACGCAGAGGCCCAUCUGUCUCUCCCCAAUCACUCCAAGGAUCAUCAUGCUCGGAGAGACAAUCCUGAGUGCAAAAAAAUGGAUGCUGUCGAUCGAGGGAAUCCCACCUGGUGCUCACAUGGCGUACUUCACCACUGCCUUGGCCGCUCUCUUCGCCUGUUACUAUGUAUUCAACCUAGAGUAUCAGGUGGAAGGCAGCACAACACUGGAGUUUGU